Molecule: long non-coding RNA, 151 nt
Organism: Sapajus apella (tufted capuchin)
Lineage: Eukaryota; Metazoa; Chordata; Mammalia; Primates; Cebidae
Exons: 3
Source: RefSeq, a predicted model, not a curated record
AGUGAUCUAUUUUGUGGAUCUUUUCAAAAGACCAGCUCCUGGAGUUAUUGAUUUUUUGAAGGGAUUUUUAUGUCUCUAUCUCCUUCAUUUCUGCUCUGAUCUUAGUUAUUUCUUGUCUUCUGCUAGCUUUUGAGUUGUUUUGAUAUUGCUC